RNAcentral lists this non-coding RNA (26 nucleotides) under Mus musculus (house mouse). Lineage: Eukaryota; Metazoa; Chordata; Mammalia; Rodentia; Muridae. The record is from RNAcentral.
GGGCUAUAUCUACUGAACACGGCUUA